AUGGAUAUCAAUGCUAACCCGAUAGAUGAGCUGAACCCGCCAAGUCCGACUCUUGCUUCCAGCCCUGCCAAGGCAACUGAAGACGUUCCCUCUCAAGAAGGGAACAACGAAGAUAUUGCUAUCACUGGGGCGGGUCAUAAGACCCCAGGCAUCUCCAAUGUACUAACUAAACACACAACCAAAGAUGAGGUGCCCUUAGUGGAAAAGGGUAAGGCAAAACUUGAACUUCCUAAUUAUGAAGAGUUCAGCGCAGAGGAGCUGCAUGCGGGCUAUCUAAGCCACCUUUCAACAAGCCGUGAAAUGGAAGCUGACUUAGUGAGCAUGAUUAAGCGAAAAUACAAGGAAGCAUUAUCUUUUGUCGAGUUAAAUUUCGCAGGCUUGAAGAAAUACUUUGAGUUAGAACAAACCGGGUGA
RNAcentral lists this ribosomal RNA (414 nucleotides) under Triticum aestivum (bread wheat). Its description in RNAcentral is "partial small subunit ribosomal RNA". Lineage: Eukaryota; Viridiplantae; Streptophyta; Magnoliopsida; Poales; Poaceae. The record is from RNAcentral.